Molecule: long non-coding RNA, 2597 nt
Organism: Heterocephalus glaber (naked mole-rat)
Lineage: Eukaryota; Metazoa; Chordata; Mammalia; Rodentia; Bathyergidae
Source: Ensembl
CUUAACAGUCACUAAACAUGUGAAAGCCUACUUACAUUUAUAAAGGCAAAAAGAAAGAUCAUGAUUCUCUAAUAGGGAACAUGAAUCCCCAAAUAAAUUAUCUUACAAAAAUAUCAAAAUUGCUUUCCCCCUUGUCUACUACUGGUAAAUAUGAAAAGAAAAUUCACACUGUAAAAAUCUGUAGGCUGAUAUAGUAAGUUAAGGCCAUUAUUUUUGCAUAUUAAAUAAGUCCUUCAAAUAAAUAUUUUACACAAAUUUAAGUUUAAAAAAACAGGUUAGGUUUCACCCUAUAUUUCUUUGGUCCACUAAAAGACCAUUUUAUCAACUGACAUUAAACUGGACAACAGCUCACACCAUGAACAACACACACACCACUGAGACCGCACGUGUGCAAUGGCUAACACUGCUGCAUCCUGAGGAGUUUCACCCUGCACAAACCCUCAAGCCUAUCCGGAAUCAAGCUGCAGGGAAAGAGCAAAAGAUAUUAAUACCUACUACAGAAAUGUGCAGGCAUCGUGAAAAAAUGCAGAAAGGAUAAGUCUUCCAGACAUAAAGAUUACUGAACAUGGGUAAAACUCAAGACUGCUUCCAAAUACCUGAACUUGGAAUGCAGUCAGCACACUCGUGGAGGACACAGGAAUGAACACGUGACAGAACUCUGGCUUCUGUGGGGUAUAUUCCUGUUGUUUUAUUCCAAAGUUUUAUGUGAACUUCAAUCCUGGUGGAGAUUUAAUAAAAUACCAGUACAUUAAGUUCUUCUAUUCUAACAACCAAAUGUAAGAAAAACUACCAUAGAGGGAUAUAGGACUUUUUUGUAUCUUCCUAGACUUUUAAAGCUAAUUUGAUUUUCAUUAUAAUGAUAUUUUAAUUAACAAUAUGCUAAAAACAAAAUCGACAGAAUUACUUUUUGUCCACACUGUUCAAUUCUCUUAUUGCUAAAAUACUGUAUUACAAAAUGAAUCCAGUGAACAUCUUCAAUUUCAAAAGGCCUGAGAGGUGAAUUCAACUUUUCUUUAAUCUAGGCUGAGGACAGCGAUGGUAACUUUGCAAAUUGAAGCUUUCCAUCCAGGAUAGAAAAAACGAGCAUCCAAAGUAGAGAGAACCACAAAACCACUUCUCUUGUUAUUCGAGCUAGUAGCUACUCAGAGCUUAAAGUUUCCGUCUUCAUUAUUAUUGGCGGUUCCAAAAGUCACAGUUUCGAUGUCAAACGUGACAGUAGAUCCAGAAGUAACUGCAGGCAACUGGUUGGUCAUUUCUUUUCCAUUUACAAAAACUGCACCAUUGGUACUGAUUCACACUGCCUGGUCCCGCUGCAGAGAGCCGCAUCCGCGCUGGUUCUCUGCACACACUCUGAUACUGCCUCUGCGGUCUGGCUGCCCCACAGUUUCAACCCUGAAUGUUAAUGUCUGCGCACAGAAAUAGGUCGGAGCUUUGGAGUAGAGAACACCCGAGGAUUCAGAAUCAUUCCGAAGAGCUAUGUUUCUUUGACUGCUCAGACUGUACUCCUCAAAGCCAGUUGUCCACUCAUGAGGCCCCAGUGUGGAGUGACCUAUCUGGGGGACGCUCCAAGGACUCCACUCCUGUCGCCCGUAUCCUCGAGCGUAGACUCUGAACUGAUAAUCAACAAACAUCGGGGUCUAUGUGUAGUACAAUGAAUUCAGUUUCAGAUCCUACGUAUUGGUCUUCAAAAUGAUUUGAAGUGCAUUUACGGAACUGAAGCCUGUAAUCUUGGGCUGCAAAGUCGUCGUCCACCUUACACCAUCGCACGAUGAUGCCCCCAGGCCUCUCUAUCAGCUCUUCUAUCUGUUCUGGUGAACGGAAUGCUACAGCCACAUGCUUAAAAAUGUGGUCUUUCACUAUGUUCAAAAUGGAAUCAUCCAACUGAGCAGAUAAGCAAGGCGCAUCAACCAGCACAGGCACUUCCGGGUCACAUGAUAGCAUCCUGUGAUGCCUGUGGGGUUAUAAAGCUAUGGGACUUUCGGAAGCUUUUACCAGUUGUGUCCAUUGAUGUAGGUCCAAGUCCUGGCGAUGAGGUGAAUUUUGAUUCAUCAGAAGCUGACACGUUACUACUGUAGGUCAACAUUACUGGAUUUGUUUACAAAGGAGAAACCAUAGGAUUUGCUGCUCUUCAACCUCACACCCUCCGUUCAACCCCUGGAGAAAUCCCAGCAAAGAAAACAAAAAGAACAAGAAAUUACUGAGGCAAUAAAGAAAAAAGAAAGCGAGGUUGAAAAGGUACCACAGAAGAAGUCCAUUGAUCCUGCCUUGUCAAUGCUGAUUACAUCUGUAAAAAAACAAAACAGAACAGUUUCAAGCAAGAAAAAAACAAAGAGUCAAAUAAGUGGAUAUUAUUUCUUUUUGCAUUGAUAAUGUAUUCUAAAGCAUACAGAAACAGUAGAGGAGAUACUGGGAAUAAAGUCACCUUUUCACAUAAAAAAAUCUUUUUCUGACCAUAGUAAGAUUCCUUUACAUGUAUACUUGUACUUAAUUGUGGCUGAUUGAUAGAGUUGUACUGUAUAUUUCCACAGAUCUAUCAUAGUUAAAUUACCUGAAUUACAAAAAAAAAAAAAGAAGGAAAAAAGAUGUUCAUAGCUGAU